CUUUGGCUAUUUUGGUGGUACGGAAGUUGAGAGGGAGAGAUUCUGUUUCCUGACCAGUGUAGAGGGGAGGUACUGGGUAUUUGACAGCAUGCUUUGGCAUGAUCGUUGGACCACAAGGUCGUGCUGUUAGUGUGGAACAUAUUCCAGAGCUGGUUAUUUAUUCAAUCAAGGAUAUUGAAAAAAGUGCGGCAGCUCCGUUAUUGAAGGAAGGUUCUCUCUCAAUGCAUGUUGGUGGUAUGGUCUUGAAACUUGAAAAUGGUUCUUUUCCACAGGACCAUUUUUCCCCCUUUGUGUAACUUAACAAAAUAGGGUGGAAAUGCCAAUUUCUUCACCAAACGGUUAUAUCACAUGCUUGCUUAUAGUUGCCCCACCUCAAAGGUUCUUUUUGCCAGGUUUAACUUGCUAGCAAUUCUAAUAGUAUGACUGCUGAUAUGUGUUGGAAAUUUUAAUCCAUUUAUUAUCAAUGCCUUCAAUGUUUUUUGUUUUAUGUGAUAAAUCUAUCUUGCUCGUUGAAAAAAAUCCAGUUGCAUUGAAG
RNAcentral lists this unclassified non-coding RNA (535 nucleotides) under Hevea brasiliensis (rubber tree). Lineage: Eukaryota; Viridiplantae; Streptophyta; Magnoliopsida; Malpighiales; Euphorbiaceae. The record is from RNAcentral.